UGGGGAAUAUUGCACAAUGGAGGGAACUCUGAUGCAGCAACGCCGCGCGCGGGAUGACGGCCUGCGGGUUGUAAACCGCUUUCAGCCAUGACGAAGCUUUUGUGACGGUAGUGGUAGAAGAAGCACCGGCUAACUACGUGCCAGCAGCCGCGGGGAUACGUAGGGUGCGAGCGUUGUCCGGAAUUAUUGGGCGUAAAGAGCUUGUAGGCGGUUUGUCGCGUCGAUAGUGUAAACACGCAGCUUAACUGUGUGCCUGCUGUCGAUACGGGCUGACUAGAGGAGGGUAGGGGAGAAUGGAAUUCCCGGUGGAGCGGUGGAAUGCGCAGAUAUCGGGAGGAACACCAGUGGCGAAGGCGGUUCUCUGGACCUUUCCUGACGCUGAGAAUCGAAAGCGUGGGUAGCAAACAGG
Molecule: ribosomal RNA, 409 nt
Filed under: Fusobacteriota bacterium
Lineage: Bacteria; Fusobacteriati; Fusobacteriota
Description: Fusobacteria bacterium partial 16S ribosomal RNA
Rfam family: Bacterial small subunit ribosomal RNA
Source: RNAcentral